Molecule: transfer RNA, 76 nt
Filed under: Bacteroidota bacterium
Lineage: Bacteria; Pseudomonadati; Bacteroidota
Description: Bacteroidetes bacterium (activated sludge metagenome) tRNA-Thr
Rfam family: tRNA
About the family: Transfer RNA (tRNA) molecules are approximately 80 nucleotides in length. Their secondary structure includes four short double-helical elements and three loops (D, anti-codon, and T loops).
Source: RNAcentral
GCCGAUGUAGCUCAGUUGGCCAGAGCUACUGAUUUGUAAUCAGUGGGUCGGGGUUCGAAUCCCUCCAUCGGCUCCA